Amphiprion ocellaris (clown anemonefish) is the source of this 1048-nucleotide long non-coding RNA. The record is from Ensembl. Lineage: Eukaryota; Metazoa; Chordata; Actinopteri; Pomacentridae.
GAGUGACCGGUGACUGGCUGCUUCAGCCAAUGAUGCGAUUCACAUACAUUUACCAUAGACUGUAUAUAAUAGUAUUUACACAGCUAAUCAACGUCAGGCUUCCUUAUGUGCAGCCACCGUUGUUCUCAUAGAUAUGAAUGAGUAGAUAGGACACGCCCCUUUGAGCUGCGUGCUACAGCGAGGCUAAGCUAGUGGGGGCAAAAUUUCAGUGCAUUCCGUUGAUGUAGACGGCGUGAAAACGGAAACAGCAAGUAUGCCGGCUCACUGUGCUGCAUACAAUUACACACUAUGUCGUACGAUUGAGACAAGGAAACUUGGAAUGACUUUUCAUAGGUUUCCCAGAGACUAUGGGUUGAGGAGGAAGUGGAAGUUUGUCGGCUUAGACCUGUGUCAUUCCAUCAGUGUUAAACUUCCCGGCUCAUCUUGGAAGAGUACGUGCCAGAAAGACCACGACCAAGCAGCCUUGAGAUCUUAGGCAGCGUCUCCCUGAGACCAAAGAACUACAGACUCUUCACAACCUGCUCAAACUCUUGGUACAGGACCUCACCACACGGGUCAAGAAGGUUUCCGUCUCAUUUCUACUCUGAAGCUCACCUUCUCCUGCUCAAACUGCUGGCAAAUGUUUCUGCUGCUCUAAAGUCUGGUCUCCAGAACUUCCUAAAAACUCUCAAAGUCUCUUCUGCUGCAGGUUGCUUUGUAGAACUGUUCCAGAAAACCUCACUAAACCACAUGGAGGGGCCUCAAGAUAGUCGUCCAAACGAAACGGUACAAAAACCAAACUAGCACAACCCAAACGCUAAAGUCUCCUGCAGCCUACCAGAGAACCUCUGAGAACAGAGAAUCAGCACAGGAACUCUUACCUUCUGGACAACCAACGUUGCUUCACAAACAAGAAUACAGAAUGUGUCUGACCAAAAACCUCUAAAGACUCACUACAGCCAAGAUAAAGACACAACUCAGCUGUACCAAAUCCACUAAUCACUGCACACAUUAGCACCAUGUGCUAACUGUGGCUAAAGAACCACAUUUACCAAGACAACUAUCCAGU